Long non-coding RNA from Ornithodoros turicata, 1095 nucleotides. RefSeq lists it as uncharacterized. Lineage: Eukaryota; Metazoa; Arthropoda; Arachnida; Ixodida; Argasidae. The transcript has 5 exons. The record is from RefSeq and is a predicted model, not a curated record.
GUACCAUCCAGAAGUGGUACUGCAUGUCCUGUUUCACAAUAUACAUGGCACCAACAACAUUACCAGAAGAUGAUUGUGCAUCAGUCCUCAUUGACGAGGUGCUGUCUAGCAUACAAGGAGCCUGAGGCUAUGGAUACUGGACCAACAGCGUCCAGCAGAAUAUGGUGAAAGGCCAACUUUGGUACAAGCUGUGGAAAAGCACUAGGUUAGGAGCCCGUAUGUGAACUUGGAGCAACUGAACAGUCUGUCAUAUGUGCAUCGGAAAAUGACGUCACGGAAUGUCUUCCUCAAGGGGAUCACACAUACUCCUUGAACGUGGCCAGUGAUUCAAGCGACAUCCUGUAUGACAGUACCAGUGUGAUCCAAUAUGAGGAAAGCAGCGGUGUUCAGUGUCUACUGACACUGAUCCCCCACUAAUAAUUUCGUCAUCUAAAGGUACACAGGUGAACUUUAGUGUUAGGACACUAACCACUGUGGGGACACAGACUUGUGUGCACCAUGCGUAGCAUGUGCCUGUAAAGAUACCUCUCCUCGCCUGCUGCCCAUGGAGGACCCAACUACCAAUGCGACAAACACAAGCCCUGAGGCGGAUUCGGGGAUCGAGACCAGAUCCCAAGGAGGUGAUGGAAACUGUUGCACUGUACCAGCUGUUGAUGCAGUGUCUUCAGAAGAACGAGUAGACCACACCUUUUCGCCUGUGCACUGCUCAAGCCCAGUCCCAUCGAGCCCGUGUGAUACAAACCUCUGACUCUGAGAAGGAUACGUCAUACUUCCCUUCAUUUGACUAGAGCUUUGUGAGAGGAUGCUUUCGCUUCUCAGCACCACACCAAAAGACACUACAGUUCCACAACACAAGGAAAAAAAAAUACAUAGUCUUUGAGAGCUGUCUGCUCCAGCUCUUUCGACUAUGCCAAACGUGCUACACUCCAGCUAAGACAACUUUAGAUCAGAAGGAACAUUUCUGGCAGUCAACUGCACCUGUUCCAAUGGACACCACCGUACAUGGACCAGCCAGCCGACCAUAAAUGGGAAAGCAGUUGGGAACCUUCUGCUCUCAGCUGCCAUCCUAUUCACUGGAGCAAGUCCAGCCUAAGU